GAAAGACACAAUUUAAGUCUUUGCAAUUGGAGCUUUUCUUUAUUUUGAGAGUACAAUUCACUGCAUAAAUAGUUUUAUAUCUUUGUCUCUUUCUUCUUCAAAAUUGCAUUUAAUAUCAAAGGACGUGGUGGAAUAUGCAGGUGCUUGGAGGAGCAUUUGGUGGAACGCUCGAGAUGUAAUAAUAUCAAAUUUGAAUAUGUAUUUGAUUUUUAGUUUGUUUGUAAUAUUAUGAAUUCGAUGAUACAUUUAUCAAGUUUACGUAAGAUUUUAAUGUAUUAGUUUAAAGAUA
Molecule: long non-coding RNA, 289 nt
Organism: Capsicum annuum
Lineage: Eukaryota; Viridiplantae; Streptophyta; Magnoliopsida; Solanales; Solanaceae
Exons: 2
Source: RefSeq, a predicted model, not a curated record